UGGCUCAGGAUGAACGCUGGCGGUAUGCCUAACACAUGCAAGUCGUACGAGAGUUUUUAACUCUAGUGGCGGACGGUGAGUAACACGUGAGAAUUUGCCUUUAGGAGGGGGACAACAAUCGGAAACGAAUGCUAAUACCCCAUAUGCUUUCGAGUGAAAUGGAUUUUAUCCGCCUAGAGAGAAGCUCGCGGCUGAUUAGCUAGUUGGUGGGGUAAAGGCCUACCAAGGCGACGAUCCAUAGCUGGUCUGAGAGGAUGAUCAGCCACAUUGGGACUGAGACACGGCCCAAACUCCUACGGGAGGCAGCAGUGGGGAAUAUUGGACAAUGGGCGCAAGCCUGAUCCAGCCAUGCCGCGUGAGUGAUGAAGGCCCUAGGGUUGUAAAGCUCUUUCACCGGUGAAGAUAAUGACGGUAACCGGAGAAGAAGCCCCGGCUAACUUCGUG
Molecule: ribosomal RNA, 444 nt
Filed under: uncultured bacterium
Lineage: Bacteria
Description: bacterial SSU rRNA
Rfam family: Bacterial small subunit ribosomal RNA
Source: RNAcentral